UCAUCAUCGCCCCUUAUCGACCUGGGCUACACACGUGCUACAAUGGUUGGUACAACGAGUUGCGAGUCGGUGACGGCGAGCUAAUCUCUUAAAGCCAAUCUCAGUUCGGAUUGUAGGCUGCAACUCGCCUACAUGAAGUCGGAAUCGCUAGUAAUCGCGGAUCAGCACGCCGCGGUGAAUACGUUCCCGGGCCUU
Molecule: ribosomal RNA, 195 nt
Filed under: uncultured Streptococcus sp.
Lineage: Bacteria; Bacillati; Bacillota; Bacilli; Lactobacillales; Streptococcaceae
Description: partial 16S ribosomal RNA
Rfam family: Bacterial small subunit ribosomal RNA
Source: RNAcentral